This 404-nucleotide ribosomal RNA is filed under the name Actinomycetes bacterium. RNAcentral's name for it is "Actinobacteria bacterium partial 16S ribosomal RNA". It matches the Rfam family "Bacterial small subunit ribosomal RNA", at positions 355 to 776 of the family's 1533-position model. Lineage: Bacteria; Bacillati; Actinomycetota; Actinomycetes. The record is from RNAcentral.
UGGGGAAUAUUGGACAAUGGGCGCAAGCCUGAUCCAGCCAUGCCGCGUGAGUGAUGAAGGCCCUAGGGUUGUAAAGCUCUUUCACCGGUGAAGAUAAUGACGGUAACCGGAGAAGAAGCCCCGGCUAACUUCGUGCCAGCAGCCGCGGUAAUACGAAGGGGGCUAGCGUUGUUCGGAUUUACUGGGCGUAAAGCGCACGUAGACGGACUUUUAAGUCAGGGGUGAAAUCCCGGGGCUCAACCCCGGAACUGCCUUUGAUACUGGAAGUCUUGAGUAUGGUAGAGGUGAGUGGAAUUCCGAGUGUAGAAGUGAAAUUCGUAGAUAUUCGGAGGAACACCAGUGGCGAAGGCGGCUCACUGGACCAUUACUGACGCUGAGGUGCGAAAGCGUGGGGAGCAAACAGG